This 60-nucleotide transfer RNA is filed under the name Trichostrongylus axei. Its description in RNAcentral is "tRNA-Ile". Lineage: Eukaryota; Metazoa; Nematoda; Chromadorea; Rhabditida; Trichostrongylidae. The record is from RNAcentral.
AUUUUAUUAGUAAAAAAAUUAUAUUAUCUUGAUAAGGUAAAGUUCUUAAUGAUAAAAUAU